AUUAGACGAAUCAUCUGGAAAGAUGAAUCAAAGAAGGUAAUAAUCCUGUAGUCGAAAAUGUUGUCUCUCUUGAGUGGAUCCUGAGUACGACGGAGCACGUGAAAUUCCGUCGGAAUCUGGGAGGACCAUCUCCUAAGGCUAAAUACUCUCUAGUGACCGAUAGUGAACCAGUACCGUGAGGGAAAGGUGAAAAGCACCCCGGAAGGGGAGUGAAAUAGAACCUGAAACCGUGUGCUUACAAGUAGUCAGAGCCCGUUAAUGGGUGAUGGCGUGCCUUUUGUAGAAUGAACCGGCGAGUUACGAUUUGAUGCAAGGUUAAGCAGUAAAUGUGGAGCCGUAGCGAAAGCGAGUCUGAAUAGGGCGUUUAGUAUUUGGUCGUAGACCCGAAACCAGGUGAUCUACCCUUGGUCAGGUUGAAGUUCAGGUAACACUGAAUGGAGGACCGAACCGACUUACGUUGAAAAGUGAGCGGAUGAACUGAGGGUAGCGGAGAAAUUCCAAUCGAACCUGGAGAUAGCUGGUUCUCUCCGAAAUAGCUUUAGGGCUAGCCUCAAGUGAUGAUUAUUGGAGGUAGAGCACUGUUUGGACGAGGGGCCCCUCUCGGGUUACCGAAUUCAGACAAACUCCGAAUGCCAAUUAAUUUAACUUGGGAGUCAGAACAUGGGUGAUAAGGUCCGUGUUCGAAAGGGAAACAGCCCAGACCACCAGCUAAGGUCCCAAAAUAUAUGUUAAGUGGAAAAGGAUGUGGCGUUGCCCAGACAACUAGGAUGUUGGCUUAGAAGCAGCCAUCAUUUAAAGAGUGCGUAAUAGCUCACUAGUCGAGUGACACUGCGCCGAAAAUGUACCGGGGCUAAACAUAUUACCGAAGCUGUGGAUUGUCCUUUGGACAAUGGUAGGAGAGCGUUCUAAGGGCGUUGAAGCAUGAUCGUAAGGACAUGUGGAGCGCUUAGAAGUGAGAAUGCCGGUGUGAGUAGCGAAAGACGGGUGAGAAUCCCGUCCACCGAUUGACUAAGGUUUCCAGAGGAAGGCUCGUCCGCUCUGGGUUAGUCGGGUCCUAAGCUGAGGCCGACAGGCGUAGGCGAUGGAUAACAGGUUGAUAUUCCUGUACCACCUAUAAUCGUUUUAAUCGAUGGGGGGACGCAGUAGGAUAGGCGAAGCGUGCGAUUGGAUUGCACGUCUAAGCAGUAAGGCUGAGUAUUAGGCAAAUCCGGUACUCGUUAAGGCUGAGCUGUGAUGGGGAGAAGACAUUGUGUCUUCGAGUCGUUGAUUUCACACUGCCGAGAAAAGCCUCUAGAUAGAAAAUAGGUGCCCGUACCGCAAACCGACACAGGUAGUCAAGAUGAGAAUUCUAAGGUGAGCGAGCGAACUCUCGUUAAGGAACUCGGCAAAAUGACCCCGUAACUUCGGGAGAAGGGGUGCUCUUUAGGGUUAACGCCCAGAAGAGCCGCAGUGAAUAGGCCCAAGCGACUGUUUAUCAAAAACACAGGUCUCUGCUAAACCGUAAGGUGAUGUAUAGGGGCUGACGCCUGCCCGGUGCUGGAAGGUUAAGAGGAGUGGUUAGCUUCUGCGAAGCUACGAAUCGAAGCCCCAGUAAACGGCGGCCGUAACUAUAACGGUCCUAAGGUAGCGAAAUUCCUUGUCGGGUAAGUUCCGACCCGCACGAAAGGCGUAACGAUUUGGGCACUGUCUCAACGAGAGACUCGGUGAAAUCAUAGUACCUGUGAAGAUGCAGGUUACCCGCGACAGGACGGAAAGACCCCGUGGAGCUUUACUGUAGCCUGAUAUUGAAAUUCGGCACAGCUUGUACAGGAUAGGUAGGAGCCUUUGAAACGUGAGCGCUAGCUUACGUGGAGGCGCUGGUGGGAUACUACCCUAGCUGUGUUGGCUUUCUAACCCGCACCACUUAUCGUGGUGGGAGACAGUGUCAGGCGGGCAGUUUGACUGGGGCGGUCGCCUCCUAAAAGGUAACGGAGGCGCUCAAAGGUUCCCUCAGAAUGGUUGGAAAUCAUUCAUAGAGUGUAAAGGCAUAAGGGAGCUUGACUGCGAGACCUACAAGUCGAGCAGGGUCGAAAGACGGACUUAGUGAUCCGGUGGUUCCGCAUGGAAGGGCCAUCGCUCAACGGAUAAAAGCUACCCCGGGGAUAACAGGCUUAUCUCCCCCAAGAGUUCACAUCGACGGGGAGGUUUGGCACCUCGAUGUCGGCUCAUCGCAUCCUGGGGCUGUAGUCGGUCCCAAGGGUUGGGCUGUUCGCCCAUUAAAGCGGUACGCGAGCUGGGUUCAGAACGUCGUGAGACAGUUCGGUCCCUAUCCGUCGUGGGCGUAGGAAAUUUGAGAGGAGCUGUCCUUAGUACGAGAGGACCGGGAUGGACAUACCUCUGGUGUACCAGUUGUCGUGCCAACGGCAUAGCUGGGUAGCUAUGUGUGGACGGGAUAAGUGCUGAAAGCAUCUAAGCAUGAAGCCCCCCUCAAGAUGAGAUUUCCCAACUUCGGUUAUAAGAUCCCUCAAAGAUGAUGAGGUUAAUAGGUUCGAGGUGGAAGCAUGGUGACAUGUGGAGCUGACGAAUACUAAUCGAUCGAAGACU
RNAcentral lists this ribosomal RNA (2583 nucleotides) under Staphylococcus aureus. RNAcentral's name for it is "partial 23S ribosomal RNA". It matches the Rfam family "Bacterial large subunit ribosomal RNA", at positions 328 to 2925 of the family's 2925-position model. The record is from RNAcentral. Lineage: Bacteria; Bacillati; Bacillota; Bacilli; Caryophanales; Staphylococcaceae.